CCUACGGGUGACUGCAGUGGGGAAUAUUGGACAAUGGGGGGAACCCUGAUCCAGCGACGCCGCGUGAGUGAAGAAGUAUUUCGGUAUGUAAAGCUCUAUCAGCAGGGAAGAAAGAAAUGACGGUACCUGACUAAGAAGCCCCGGCUAACUACGUGCCAGCAGCCGCGGUAAUACGUAGGGGGCAAGCGUUAUCCGGAUUUACUGGGUGUAAAGGGAGCGUAGACGGCGAUGCAAGUCUGAAGUGAAAGGCGGGGGCCCAACCUCCGGACUGCUUUGGGAACUGUUUUGCUGGAGUAUGGGAGGGGUAAGCGGAAUUCCUGGUGUAGCGGUGAAAUGCGUAGAUAUCAGGAGGAACACCGGUGGCGAAGGCGGCUUACUGGACCAUAACUGACGUUGAGGCUCGAAAGCGUGGGGGCGAACAGGAUUAGAUACCCGUGUAGUC
RNAcentral lists this ribosomal RNA (442 nucleotides) under uncultured bacterium. RNAcentral's name for it is "partial 16S ribosomal RNA". It matches the Rfam family "Bacterial small subunit ribosomal RNA", at positions 338 to 795 of the family's 1533-position model. The record is from RNAcentral.